RNAcentral lists this ribosomal RNA (500 nucleotides) under uncultured bacterium. RNAcentral's name for it is "partial 16S ribosomal RNA". It matches the Rfam family "Bacterial small subunit ribosomal RNA", at positions 30 to 523 of the family's 1533-position model. The record is from RNAcentral.
AUUGAACGCUGGCGGCAUGCCUUACACAUGCAAGUCGAACGGCAGCACGGGAGCAAUCCUGGUGGCGAGUGGCGAACGGGUGAGUAAAGUAUCGGAACGUGCCCAGUCGUGGGGGAUAACGUAGCGAAAGUUACGCUAAUACCGCAUACGAUCUAUGGAUGAAAGCGGGGGAUCGCCAGACCUUGCGCGAUUGGAGCGGCCGAUAUCAGAUUAGGUAGUUGGUGGGGUAAAGGCUCACCAAGCCGACGAUCUGUAGCUGGUCUGAGAGGACGACCAGCCACACUGGGACUGAGACACGGCCCAGACUCCUACGGGAGGCAGCAGUGGGGAAUUUUGGACAAUGGGCGAAAGCCUGAUCCAGCCAUGCCGCGUGCAGGAUGAAGGCCUUCGGGUUGUAAACUGCUUUUGUACGGAACGAAAAGGUUUGGGCUAAUAAGCUGAGCUCAUGACGGUACCGUAAGAAUAAGCACCGGCUAACUACGUGCCAGCCGCCGCAGUAA